GACGAACGCUGGCAGCGUGCUUACAAAAAGCAAGUAGAACGGAAAGGAAAUGCUAAUGUGGGAUGAAAGAAAGGAGAAAAAAUGAGUAAAAAGAGAGUAAACUAAAAUUAACUAAGAGAAACCUUCACGAAACUGGGGCUAAUACCGGAUAGGAGCUCCUGCUGCAUGGUGGGGGUUGGAAAGUUUCGGCGGUUGGGGAUGGACUCGCGGCUUAUCAGCUUGUUGGUGGGGUAGUGGCUUACCAAGGCUUUGACGGGUAGCCGGCCUGAGAGGGUGACCGGCCACAUUGGGACUGAGAUACGGCCCAGACUCCUACGGGAGGCAGCAGUGGGGAAUAUUGCACAAUGGGCGGAAGCCUGAUGCAGCAACGCCGCGUGCGGGAUGACGGCCUUCGGGUUGUUAACCGCUUUCGCCUGUGGCGAAGCGUGAGUGACGGUAAUGGGUAAAGAAGCACCGGCUAACUACGUG
This 468-nucleotide ribosomal RNA is filed under the name uncultured bacterium. RNAcentral's name for it is "partial 16S ribosomal RNA". It matches the Rfam family "Bacterial small subunit ribosomal RNA", at positions 28 to 507 of the family's 1533-position model. The record is from RNAcentral.